GUAGCCUACGGGAGGCAGCAGUGAGGCCUCUUGGUCCCUGUUCGGGCGCCUGAACCAGCCAAGUCGCGUGAGGGAAGACGGUCCUAUGGAUUGUAAACCUCUUUAGGCGGGGAGCAAUGCCGGGCACGUGUGCCCGGAGGGAGAGUACCCGCAGAAUAAGCAUCGGCUAACUCCGUGCCAGCAGCCGCGGUAAUACGGAGGAUGCGAGCGUUAUCCGGAUUUAUUGGGUUUAAAGGGUGCGUAGGCGGAUUUUUAAGUAAGCGGUAAAAUGUCCGGGCUCAACCCGGGCCGGCCGUUGAAACUGG
Molecule: ribosomal RNA, 305 nt
Filed under: uncultured bacterium
Lineage: Bacteria
Description: bacterial SSU rRNA
Rfam family: Bacterial small subunit ribosomal RNA
Source: RNAcentral